GGUUGACCUCGGAUCAGGUAGGAAUACCCGCUGAACUUAAGCAUAUCAAUAAGCGGAGGAAAAGAAACCAACAGGGAUUGCCCUAGUAACGGCGAGUGAAGCGGCAACAGCUCAAAUUUGAAAUCUGGCCCUCGGGUCCGAAUUGUAAUUUGUAGAGGAUGCUUUUGGUGAGGUACCUUCCGAGUUCCCUGGAACGGGACGCCAUAGAGGGUGAGAGCCCCGUCUGGUUGGAUACCGAUCCUCUGUAAAGCUCCUUCGACGAGUCGAGUAGUUUGGGAAUGCUGCUCUAAAUGGGAGGUAUAUGUCUUCUAAAGCUAAAUAUUGGCCAGAGACCGAUAGCGCACAAGUAGAGUGAUCGAAA
RNAcentral lists this ribosomal RNA (361 nucleotides) under Ilyonectria leucospermi. RNAcentral's name for it is "eukaryotic LSU rRNA". It matches the Rfam family "Eukaryotic large subunit ribosomal RNA", at positions 1 to 362 of the family's 3401-position model. Lineage: Eukaryota; Fungi; Ascomycota; Sordariomycetes; Hypocreales; Nectriaceae. The record is from RNAcentral. RNAcentral also lists the same sequence under 1 other name.